Molecule: long non-coding RNA, 2096 nt
Organism: Bos taurus (domestic cattle)
Lineage: Eukaryota; Metazoa; Chordata; Mammalia; Artiodactyla; Bovidae
Source: Ensembl
CCGCAGGGACCGCACCGUGCUCACGGGGCGGGGCAGGGCAGGCAGCCAAGAAAGCUUCCUCAAAGCCCUCAAAGCUCUCCUUUAAAGAACAAAAGCCUGGAGUCACUGAGGGAGCAGCAGAAAACACAGAUGGAGACCGAGGCUGGAGGGUGAGGCUGGAGGAGCAGAGGCCCUCUGCCUGUGAGGAGGCACGCGAGGAGAUAGCCUACUCCUGGGAGAGGCAGGACCACGAGAAAGCCCCGCCCCGAGGUGCAGGGACACGGACUGAGGUCGAAAGCCAGCAGCAGAGAGGCCCUCUGCCCCCAUCCUGGUGCCCCAGCCCAGCCCAGGCCAGGUCCAGUCACAGCUGUCCUCUCCUGGGGCAGGCUUAUUGAGAAAUCCCCAUAACAAGAAGGUUGAGAGAAGUCCUUUGCCGCCCAACACUCAUGGCUGCAUCGCCCUCUCUGAGGUCUCCCAGUUGGGUUAGCUCCUGGCCGGCUGCCCUUGUGCUGCCCCCACGUUGCUGCGUGAAUCAUUAGAUGCUGGGAGGCGUUUCAUUCUCAAUCCAUCCACCAGUUUUUCUCUGUUCUGAGUGAUCUGUGAUGAGCCUGCAUGGACAAGUCUCGGUGUGGACAAGUGGUCCCAUUUAAACCUCUUGGUAAGUACCCAGGAACAGGGUUGCUAGGUUGUAGAGCGAGGGUGUCUUUGAGGGAACCACCAGACGUUUUCAAGUAAGCUGUCCCUCACAUUCUCAGCAGCAACACCCCGAGUCCCUGCUGCUGUGCAUCCCUGCUAAUACUUGUCAACUCAGGACCAGGACCCUCCUUGGAGUUGGAUGUUUGCAUAGUCAGGACCUAUGGUGAGGUAAUCACCAGGGUCCCCCAGGCAGCACAUGGUAAAGGUGGGAUCCGCAUGCCGUUCUGGUGAUCAGGACUCCCUCAAGUCAAUCCUGGACUCAGCUGAUAGGAAAUCAGAGAGGAGACACUUGGAGAUGAUGCAAAUAUGCUAUUUCUCAUGAACCCUCCUUGUAGACUGACCACAAGAGAGUCCCAGCAGAAGACUCACCUCCAGGCUUCACCUGUCAAGCAUUUCUACUUUCUGCUCUUCCCCAGGAAUCUCACAAGGGCUGUGAACUCAGGAGGAUGCCAUCAUUAAAAAAAAAAAAGAAAACAAUGUUUGUCCUUUUGAGGGUUAACUUCUUAGAAGUUUUCCUGACAUUGAUACACAUCCUGAUGUAAUACCCGGCAGAAAAGACCAGGUUCUGGCGCAGGCUGAUUUGCUUGGAUCAUCUGAAGGUGACUGUGGUCCUUCAUGAUUGAAGCUCUUUGUAUAUUUGCUAAAAGCUAUGGUUAAAUUUCCCAGAAUUUGCACACGUCAUGUACUGAUAACUUUCAUACAACCCCAUUGAUGUCCCUUCCCUAAAGCUGGUCCAUGACCCCACUCUGAGGACCCUGCCUGGAGGAUUCCCCCAGCCUGGUGCUCUUGUCAUGUUUUGAAGAUCUGCAGGUGUGGGUGGAGAACUAUAGAAUUCUCAGAGUCUCUUCCCUUCAGGGUUGCUGCUUCCUUAAAGGACAUUCCCCACCAGCUGCUCAUCUUCUACGUAUGCUAUGCGUGAUGCUUGUUUUGAUGAGGCCAUUGAAUUGGUUAUUUGUGGUUUUUUCAUUAAAUGCAUCAGAAAAGCCAGGAUUUGUAUUACCCACCAUGAGGACUGUCUCAGGAAGGCUUUGAGCUGCAGGUAGCGGAAGCCCAACCAACAGUGGCCUGAACAAGCAAAGGUGUCUUUUCCUCCUACAACAAGGAGCUUGAAGGCAGGUCCCUGCCCGGGGUGUUUCAGUCGCCCUGCCAAUUCAGCAUGGCACCCUCGUGGCUGCCCCAUCACGGUGCCGUAGCAGCCAGGGCAGCCCCCAGAAGCAGGUCUGUGUUCCGGGCAGGAAAAGGGACAUAGAGGAAGCAGUUUCAGCUGCAAGACAGCAUCCGUUUCCCCACAUGCCCCAUCUCAGUGCCACCCCAAGUUAGCCUCCCUGGCAUCAGCGGUGACGGAUGUCAAGGGGAGGGGCUCUGGGUGCAGCGUUGAGUUUCUCUAUCUCUGGCACCUGCCAGCUCACGAUCUUCAUGAU